AAUUCUUAAUAUGAAAAAGACAAGAAAUAUGUACCCUAAAACCAAACAUUGUUGAUCCAACACCAAUCAAGAAAGAUUAAGAUUGAACUGGGCGAUGUCGGAUUCUCGGAGUCUAACGCUAUAAAAAUGGCGAGGACAAGCUGAGAAAGCUAGCAAGUAGGCUCUUUUCCGCCAUCGGUGUUUGCGCUUACUUGACCGCCAUUACCGACUUCCAAUAUCCGGGAUUCUCGACACUGAUGAGAAUGUUAUAAUCGCCUUGAAGAGAAGCCCUCGUGUCUUAAUUGUCAUACUACGAUCUUGGUGUCUAAUAUUGGCGUUUUGAGUGCUAAUGCUGUUCCAAAACUUCAUAUUAGGAGGCUAAUCACGCUGCAGGCUGCAGCUUGAGCCGUUAAUGGUUAAAGUUGACUUGUUUGACGAGGUUCGAGAAGUUAAAUAUAUGGGGUUUAAACCAUUUCGCUACGCCUUUUUAUAUGUUCUCCUUGCAAUGUCAAAGAUGAGCAGAAGAGAUUGGGAAAGCAAGAAGAAGCUCUUGAUGAGCUUUGGCUGGUCAGAACAAGAAUUUCUGUUGGCAUUAAGAAAGCAGCCACUAUUCAUGCUAACAUCCAAGAAGAAGAUGCAGGAAUUAAUGGAGUUUUAUGUGACCAAAGCUCGUUUGGAGCCUUCAGAUAUCGAUAAGUACACUGAAUCUUCUUCUGGCUAGUUUAAAGGAAAAAAUCAUUCCAAGAUGUUCCGUUAUGGAAGUGCUAAUGUCAAAGGAGAUGAUUAAGAAGCAUGUAAGUGUUGCCAGUGCAUUAAAUAUGACUAAAAAGAAGUUCGAGAAGAGGUAUUUCACUAGUUUCAAGGAAGAUUAUCCUGAACUGCUCGAUGCAUACCAGGUUCAGACCACAUUUCCAGGAAGUAGUUACCAAAUGUGACAGUUGAUUUGAUGAAGGAAGCUUUGAGCACGAAAUAGAUGAGCUGCUCCUGUAGUUUUCAAAGAUGGGAGUUUGGAGACCUUGGGGGAAGUUAUUGUUCUCAUUUUCUACUCACUGAGAUCAUAUUGAUUUGAGAUUUGAAGUUUCUUUUCUUCUAACCUCUCUGGGAAAGGGACUGGAGGUGAUCAUGAAGAAUGCAACUGCUGUACUGUUGAACUGUAGCAGCUAAUCAAUUGUAAUGCAUCUCAGAUUGAUUUAUCAUCUUAAGCUUGUUUCAUUCUAACCUCUAUAUUAAAGAGAGUGUUUAUCACAGGUAGAAUUUAGGAAAAAUUUAUUCUGGCAUGUAGUUUUCAGAUGGUAUGUUCAAAUUAGAUUUAUUUUAUAUUUCUGAACAAACUUUCUGAUUCUUCAUGGAGCGAAUUGAAUUAUGUUUGGUUUA
Non-coding RNA from Jatropha curcas, 1353 nucleotides. The record is from RefSeq and is a predicted model, not a curated record. NCBI's taxonomy places the organism in Eukaryota, Viridiplantae, Streptophyta, Magnoliopsida, Malpighiales, Euphorbiaceae.